This 1173-nucleotide ribosomal RNA is filed under the name metagenome. RNAcentral's name for it is "SSU rRNA". It matches the Rfam family "Eukaryotic small subunit ribosomal RNA", at positions 558 to 1759 of the family's 1831-position model. The record is from RNAcentral.
AGUCUGGUGCCAGCAGCCGCGGUAAUUCCAGCUCCAAAAGCAUAUAUUAAAGUUGUUGCGGUUAAAAAGCUCGUAGUUGGAUCCAUGACCUCGGAGGGCGGUCCCCCACUGGGUGCGUACUGCUGCUCCGAGUCCUAUCUGUCAGUUUGUCUGUGUUGCCUUUAAUCGGGUGGCACAGGUGACUGACGUGUUUACUUUGAAAAAAUUAGAGUGUUUAAAGCAGGCGUUGAAUGCCUGAAUAGUGGUGCAUGGAAUAAUGGAAUAGGAUCUCGGUUCUAUUUUGUUGGUUCAAGAGCAUGAGAAAAUGAUUAAGAGGGACAGACGGGGGCAUUUGUAUUGCUGCGUUAGAGGUGAAAUUCUUGGAUCGUAGCAAGACAAACUACUGCGAAGGCAUUUGCCAAGAAUGUUUUCAUUAAUCAAGAACGAAAGUUAGAGGUUCGAAGGCGAUCAGAUACCGCCCUAGUUCUAACCGUAAACCAUGUCGACUAGCUAUCUGUCAGCGUUAAUAAUGACCUGACAGGCAGCUUACCGGAAACGAAAGUUUCUCGAUUCCGGGGGUAGUAUGGUUGCAAAGCUGAAACUUAAAGGAAUUGACGGAAGGGCACCACCAGGAGUGGAGCCUGCGGCUUAAUUUGACCCAACACGGGAAAACUCACCCGGCCCGGACACCGUAAGGAUUGACAGAUUAAUAGCUCUUUCUCGAUUUGGUGAUUGGUGGUGCAUGGCCGUUCUUAGUUGGUGGAGCGAUUUGUCUGGUUAAUUCCGAUAACGAACGAGAUUCUAACUUACUACUAGUUCCACGAUCCUUGUGGUCCUAAAUACUUCUUAGAGGGAAAACCGGCAUUUAGUCGAACGAGAUUGAGCAAUAACAGGUCUGUGAUGCCCUUAGAUGUCCGGGGCUGCACGCGUGCUACACUGAAGGAAUCAGCGUGUUUUUCCCUUGCCUGUAAUGGCUGGGUAACCGACUGAAUCUCCUUCGUGCUAGGGAUAGAUCAUUGAAACUAGUGAUCUUCAACUUGGAAUUCCUGGUACGUUUGAGUCAUAAGCUCAAGCAGAUUACGUCCCUGCCCUUUGUACACACCGCCCGUCGCUACUACCGACUGGCAAUAUCUUUGAGACACUUGGAGCGGCCGUGAGCUACCCUAACCGGUAACUCACGGCUGCGAAAAGGUU